Molecule: transfer RNA, 81 nt
Filed under: Felis catus (domestic cat)
Lineage: Eukaryota; Metazoa; Chordata; Mammalia; Carnivora; Felidae
Also listed under: 2 other names
Rfam family: tRNA
About the family: Transfer RNA (tRNA) molecules are approximately 80 nucleotides in length.
Source: Rfam by way of RNAcentral
GCCUAGGUGGCUCAGUUGGUUGAGCAUCUGGCUUUAGCUCAGGUCAUGAUCACUCCGUGGGUUCGAGCCCCGCAUUGGACU